AAAAAACAUUGAAAAGCGGAUUUUUCUCUAUCUUUAAUCUCUCGUAGUACUAAUGUUAAAGCGGAUUUUUUGGCACGAAAAGUUCGUACCCAACCGCUUCAUAUUAUAUUUGUAAACAACAUUCCUCAGGAUUGGCUCGUUUGAGUCCUAAUUAAUUUUCGGAUGACAAAAAAAAAAAAAACAUUGAAAAAGAAAUUCCCCCAUAUUUUUGUUGUUGUAUAUA
Molecule: small RNA, 223 nt
Filed under: Arabidopsis thaliana (thale cress)
Lineage: Eukaryota; Viridiplantae; Streptophyta; Magnoliopsida; Brassicales; Brassicaceae
Description: ATSL256140
Source: RNAcentral